UACCUGGCUGCAGUUUGGGGGUGUAAAGUAAAACUAUAAAAAUUAUUGACCUUUUCAAUAAUUAUUAUCUUUUUUAAGGGUUUAAAAAUUUUUAGCUGUAACAUACAGCUAAUGUAACGUAAGCUUUGCCCAUUUACCAAUGAAUGAUACCCAUGUAUAAACCGAAUAACGGUACAAAUUCACGCCUAUGAACUGACAUCACAAGAAAUAUACGAUUGAAUUUGAAUGUGUCAAUUAAUGCAACAAACUGAUGCUGUAUUUACUUUCUGGAGUGGGAGUGAGGAGUGUGGAUUCCUCCCACUCCAGUGUUUACUUCAACUAAUUAGGGAAUGAUUGAGAAUCCCACUCCGUGGGCCCCACCUAUUUUUGGAGUGGAGAGUGGGAAUCCACUCCCACCUCUCCCUUUUCUACCCUUUUUUUAAAA
This 424-nucleotide long non-coding RNA is filed under the name Citrus x clementina. RNAcentral's name for it is "Citrus clementina (C. clementina) long non-coding RNA (CCLE_LNC006484)". The record is from RNAcentral. Lineage: Eukaryota; Viridiplantae; Streptophyta; Magnoliopsida; Sapindales; Rutaceae.